ACCCGCUGAACUUAAGCAUAUCAAUAAGCGGAGGAAAAGAAACCAACAGGGAUUGCCCUAGUAACGGCGAGUGAAGCGGCAACAGCUCAAAUUUGAAAUCUGGCUCUUUUAGAGUCCGAGUUGUAAUUUGCAGAGGGCGCUUUGGCUUUGGCAGCGGUCCAAGUUCCUUGGAACAGGACGUCACAGAGGGUGAGAAUCCUGUACGUGGUCGCUGGCUAUUGCCGUGUAAAGCCCCUUCGACGAGUCGAGUUGUUUGGGAAUGCAGCUCUAAAUGGGAGGUACAUUUCUUCUAAAGCUAAAUAUUGGCCAGAGACCGAUAGCGCACAAGUAGAGUGAUCGAAAGAUGAAAAGCACUUUGGAAAGAGAGUCAAACAGCACGUGAAAUUGUUGAAAGGGAAGCGCUUGCAGCCAGACUUGCUUACAGUUGCUCAUCCGGGCUUUUGCCCGGUGCACUCUUCUGUAGGCAGGCCAGCAUCAGUUUGGGCGGUAGGAUAAAGGUCUCUGUCACGUACCUCUCUUCGGGGAGGCCUUAUAGGGGAGACGACAUACUACCAGCCUGGACUGAGGUCCGCGCAUCUGCUAGGAUGCUGGCGUAAUGGCUGU
This 603-nucleotide ribosomal RNA is filed under the name uncultured fungus. Its description in RNAcentral is "eukaryotic LSU rRNA". It matches the Rfam family "Eukaryotic large subunit ribosomal RNA", at positions 23 to 641 of the family's 3401-position model. Lineage: Eukaryota; Fungi. The record is from RNAcentral.